CACUACCAUCAACAACAGCUUCAGCAGCAGCAACAACAACACUACCAGCAACAGUUACAGCAGCACCAGCAGGAGCAGCAGCACUAUCACCACCAACAGCAGCUGGAGCACCAACAUCAACAGCAGCACCAGCAACAUCAACAGCAGCAGCAUGAACAUCAUCAUCAUCACCAGCCUCAACAGCAGCAGCAUGAAGAUCAUCAUCAGCAGCAUCAACUGCAGCAUCAUCAUCAUCAACAGCAGCAGCAUCAACAGCAGCUGCAGCAGAAUCAACAGCAGCAGCAGCAUGAACUUCAUCAGCAACAGCAGCAACAGCAGCAGUGUCAGCAGCAGCAGCAGCAGCAACAGCAGCAGCAACAGCAUGAACUUCAUCAUCAGCAGCAGCAGCAGCGUCAGCAGCAGCACCCGCUGUGCGUGGCGCGCAGUGAGUCCGCGAGUCCCAGCAGAGGGCCCCCCGCCAGUCCCGCCCGAGCGCCCGGCUCUGCCGAGAGCAAGGCCGUGCUCCUGCCCUACCCCUGGCGGUCGUGACCCGUCGGGACGCAGGUCAAGUUCAGCAGCAGCGGCAGCAUCUUCAUUCAGCAGCAGCAUCAGCGGCACCACCACCACCAUCGUCAUCAACAACAACAGCUGCCACAGAGUCUUUGCUUGUUGGCAUUUUAAUCAGAAACACAUUUUAACUCGCCGCGCUCACGCGCACGUCUCUGGCCGUCUCGUCUCAAUGAAUCUUAGCGUGUUCAUUAACGAAUCAAUUAGCUCGUGGGCCCGCCGAUCGCGUCCGAGAAAGUCCCCGUCACUCGCGACGCCCGUCAACCGGAGACGGCCCCGACCGAGGCCGGGGGGGGUCGGUCGAGGCGACGGCGCCACUACCGCGUGAUGUCACCACGCUGUCAGACGACGGCGCCACGCGGUUCGUGGUCGUGGCAGCCAAUUAGGCCGUGGCAGGGUUUUUCGUCUGGUGGGUCCGCAGGGCCAUGCGGGUGUUGCAGCGGGCGGCUGAGCUACGGCCAAACGAGGGCUCUUGACGCGUCGAAAUGAAGCGGUUGCCGGAUCGUUGGCCCCUUGUAGGGGCUUUGUGACGUCGCAUGACGUCACAACGCCUCUACCCGUGACGUCACGCGGCCCGGCAGUGUCUGCUGAGGUUUCCCACCGGUGGAAAGUCUCUCCAGAGUGCAACCACAGUCGAUCUUCCCCACAAAGUGGUACUCGUUUUAUCGACGGUAGAGGAAGGGCUGAUGGGCCAGGAUUUUAACCCGCAACCUUGUGAUCGCGAGCCGCUCGCUGUACCGCUGGCCCGGUAACCUGGGUGAAGACCCCUGGCCAAUGGCGUCAUCGUGCCUAGGCUGCGUUCAUUGGCUCCAAGAGGCUUGAGCAUUUUAAACUCUUAACGCGUGAUAUUAUAUGAGAUAUAUAUGUAUGCCCUGAUAUCACGUGUCUGCUUACAUUAGAAAAGUACUGCGAACUUAACACUUCCACGGCUCACGUAAAGUUCAAACAUCGUGUACAUAGGUAUAUGCAUUCACGCGACAAUACGCACGCACACACAUGAAGCCCAGCCCACGGCGAUCGCUGUCCAGUCGAGAGCUGUAAUAUCUGUGAGACGGGAUCGGCUUGCACCAUGGGUCUCUAUGCGAGUCACUCUGUCUAUGUGUGAGUCUAUGGGUCUCUGUGUGAGUCUUCACUGAAUGGGGCUAGCUUUGCACCAUGGGUCUCUAUGCGAGUUACUCUGUCUAUGUGUGAGUCUAUGGGUCUCUGUGUGAGUCUUCACUGAAUGGGGCUAGCUUUGCACCAUGGGUCUCUAUGCGAGUCACUGUCUCUAUGUGAGUUGCUCUGUCUCUGUGUGAUUCUAUGGGUCUCUAUGUGAGUCUUUUGGUCUCUGUGUCAGUCUGUGAGUCUCGACGCGAGCCUUCAAUGAAUGGGGCUAGCCUUGUCCCAUGGGUCUCUAUGCGAGUCACUCUGUCUCUGUUAGCCUCUGUGUGAGUCUGUGGGUCUCUCCAUUGCAGCGGACACACAUGCGCCAUCUGUCUGAGUGACGGGGAGGGGGCGAAAGGAAGGAGAGAAAUGCCUCGACCACGCUCGCUAGUGCGUGUGUCUGCGUGUGUCAGUGUGUCUAUGCGUGUGUGUCUGCGUGUGUCAGUGUGUCUGUGCGUGUCAGUGUGUCUGUGCGUGUGUGUCACCACCAGAUAACGGCUCAGACCUCCCCACCCCCAUAUCCAAACCCCCUGUCAAUGGGCACUGCAAUGAUGACCGACUGCUCACCAACCGAGUCAAGUCGACACCACGCAGCAGGGGCUGCAGGGACAACCCGUGGGAGUUGGGGGUGGAGGGGCGGGGGUGGGUCCCGGUGUAUUAUGGGUAAAUUACGCGAAGCCCCCCCCCCCCCUCACGUGGUCACGGAUAAGAGGAGCUCCACUCUCGCGCUCCCGAUCCCACGCCACUGCCGGCGACCGCGCAGCGCUGAGCCGCCUGGUGGCGCUGCUCCACGCUGCGUUCACAGAGAAGGGCGAUCUCGCCACGCCGCGGUCCAUGAUUCCGCCCUCACCAAUUUGCUGCUGCUGCUCCCUCAUUCAAAGACAAAUCAGCUCGUUCGGCGCCGCACGCGCCCGAUGAUUGUUCAACGCGUCCCACGUGACGCGCCAAGCAAUUAGCGGUGUCGCCUUCACGCGCAACACGCGCAAGCACACAGACGCCGAGAUCCCAAUGUUCAUUUGAAUCGGCGUUGUUAAAGCAGAGAGCGUUGCGUGUCUGUAAUCUACCCAGACAGCACCGGGAAGCCGUUGACCAGUCGGACUGACCCCCCCGCCCCCCACCCCCUCGCCUCCCCCCAUCGCCCCCAUGUGGCAGCACCCUGCUGACCCCGUGCGAUUUGCUUGUAUCAGAACCGUCGCUAUUCGUCCGUUCUGCGGGACGUCACAAGCCCCUCCACGUGGCUUGAGUCGGGUCGGGUAGGGGGGGUGGGGUCUGUGCCCGAGCCUUGAAAUGACCGAGCUGAUGUUGCACGAUACGGGUUUGAUUGUAGAGCGACCUCAUGAUGUGAACGCCGCGGUGUUUUUAUUUAUUUAAGAAUGUAUUUAUUUAUUUCCAGAUGUGUUCGCUCGUUCAGGCAGAAACUUGAUAUUCACGCAGCCUUUCGCCUUAUGGAGUCAAGCUGAUCACCUUCACCCCCUGCAAAGAAAUGGAACAAUCCAAGCUUAGCUGAUACAGUACUGUGGGUGACUUGGAGUAUACCAUUUGAGCGCGGUGUGUGUGUGUGGGGGGUAUACGCUGGUAGUGAAUGUGCUCGUUUGUCUUACAGAUGCACGCGAACUGCCAUGCACGGGUAAGCGUGCGCGGUUAAUCACCCACCAUGUGUAAAACACGACGUCAUAGCGCACAAUCACGCGUCGUCCAUCGCGUAAGUCGACACGAUCAGCAUGAAUAAUGAAUAGAGUGUAGGCUUAAUUAUAAACAAUUAAACCAAGGGUACGUAUCCGUG
Long non-coding RNA from Lethenteron reissneri (Far Eastern brook lamprey), 3472 nucleotides. RefSeq lists it as uncharacterized. The record is from RefSeq and is a predicted model, not a curated record. NCBI's taxonomy places the organism in Eukaryota, Metazoa, Chordata, Hyperoartia, Petromyzontiformes, Petromyzontidae.